GAUGAACGCUAGCGGCAGGCUUAAUACAUGCAAGUCGUGGGGCAGCAUGAGUAGCAAUACUUGAUGGCGACCGGCAAACGGGUGCGGAACACGUACACAACCUUCCGAUAAGUGGGGAAUAGCCCAGAGAAAUUUGGAUUAAUACCCCGUAACAUAUAGAGUAGGCAUCUUCUUUAUAUUAUAGCUUCGGCGCUUAUUGAUGGGUGUGCGUCUGAUUAGGUAGUUGGCGGGGUAACGGCCCACCAAGCCUACGAUCAGUAGCUGAUGUGAGAGCAUGAUCGGCCACACGGGCAAUGAGCAACGGGCCCGACUCCUACGGGAGGCAGCAGUAAGGAAUAUUGGACAAUGGGCGAAAGCUUGAUCCAGCCAUGCCGCGUGAAGGAUUAAGGUCCUCUGGAUUGUAAACUUCUUUUAUUUGGGACGAAAAAAGGGAAUUCUUUCCCACUUGACGGUACCAAGUGAAUAAGCACCGGCUAACUCCGUGCCAGCAGCCGCCGUAA
Molecule: ribosomal RNA, 500 nt
Filed under: uncultured bacterium
Lineage: Bacteria
Description: partial 16S ribosomal RNA
Rfam family: Bacterial small subunit ribosomal RNA
Source: RNAcentral